Molecule: long non-coding RNA, 1643 nt
Organism: Astatotilapia calliptera (eastern happy)
Lineage: Eukaryota; Metazoa; Chordata; Actinopteri; Cichliformes; Cichlidae
Source: Ensembl
GUUUUACAAACCAAUGUGGCAAUAGAAAAAAUGCUAAGAUAAGAUUUCAAUUUAUUUUAAAGGGACAUCACAAACCAGGGAGUGUCGGGCUGAUGUCAAUGAUUCUCACACGGUCUGUGAGUGCACUGAGCUGACAUUUUUACAUUAAACACUUACUUUCGAUUUCGAACACAUGGUUACUGUUUCCGUGAAUAAAACUCUUAAACAGGCGCGCACUAAAAGGGUUUAAAGGAAAGGUCAUCGAUUUAGAAGUGUGACACGCAUUUGAACCCCAAUAGACACAGAAAUCCAACAACCUACCAACACCAGGCGAUCAUGGGUGUCAGUUAUUCAGUAAAGUUGAUCCCCUGCUGAAGUACAAAGGCUGUCAAAUCAAUCUCAAACGCACACAAACCUCCCUGCACAAACAGCAUGGUUUGUGAUUGAUGUGCAGCUCAGAGGCCACAGUGUUCGACUGAUGGCCCUAAACAAAAAAGCAAAAAAAGCAAAAAAAAAUAACCACACACUGAUCUCUCUAAAGUAUUUCUUAUUGAUCUGGUUUCCUGCCUGCAGCCCUACUGACACAUGAACACCCAGCAGUCCUACAGAGAAAGAAACCAAAUAGGGAGAAGGAAGGAUUGAAAUUGGUUUAAUUAAAUUCACCCCCACAGCUUGCCAUUGGGGGGAAUGGAAAGACUGAAGCAGACACAAGUGAGCCUACAGGUGCUUCUGAAGUCACUGUGCUCCCCUAUUACCCACCACACACAUCAUAAAGACAUACCCCACCUAUCAUUUGUUGAGUUUGCCGUCUCUCCCUUUAAUCUCCAGGCAGUUUAAUGCUUGCGGAUCCUUUGUCAGUUCUAAUUGGUCCUGCUCGUUGGGGUUGCCUUGGAAACCAGUUUAGAAAGUGUUGGCUGGAGGUCUGCCAAAGGUUGUGAUAAGAUUAGCUGUUAUGGCCCACUGUAACCAACACUGUGCGCAUUAUGCAAACAGAAAGUAGUUGCAGUGAUGCUGUUUGUUCCUCUUUUUUUUUUUUUUUUUAAAUGGUGGGAAAUAUAAACAAACUAAUUUCAGCUCUCUUAAGUUUAACAUGGAACAUGGCGUUACUGCAUGGUUCACUUUACUGCCAUUACAUACAUGCAUGAGGGAAAAUGUUCUGUGAUGGAAGAUGGAAGAGCUUUGGCUGCUGUUGGUAUAUGACAGCAGGUAUCAGUGUUGCAUGCUGUCUGCCACAGUAACAAGUCCCCCCACCCCCAAAGGCCUAAAUCUGUCUUUGUGAGCUUUGCUAACAAGCAAAAUGUCUGAGUCUUGUCAGGGUGAGGUUAUGGCACAUGCCAGGAGCUUCUUGUCCAAUUAUAUAGUCAGACAUAUAUAUGCUGCUGACACUCUCUCUGUCUUUGUCUCUCUGAGACACGUGACCGCCAACCACGUGACUUUAACUUGCCUGUCCGUGCCAGUUUGAACAUGUGACAAUCAUGGAACAAGUGAAUAAGAUUACAGUCACACAGUCAAUGACCAUCAGCCACUUGUUAGAAGUAAAAAUUAGUAUUACCUGACAGCAGGCAAUAGUGCAAUAAUACUACAACAGUGGCCAAAGCUUUUACAGCUUACCUCACAGGUUGCAAGUGGAAGCUGAAAGCUCUUGCUCAAUGUAACCACUUGAU